AUUUCCUUUCAUCUUUCUUCCUUUUUUCCUUUCUUUCUUUCUUUUUUCUUUUCUUUUGACAAAAUCUUGAUUGUAGCCCUGGCCGCCCUGGAACUGACUACAUAGACCAGACUGGCCUGAAACUCACAGAGAUCCUCCUGCGUCUGCUUUCCAAGCACUGGGAUUAAAGGCGUGGACCAUCAUGCCUGCCUCCUCCUCUAUCAGAGGUGAAAUCAUUUCGACUGUGAUGGAGGCUGGAAAGACUUAAAGAUCACCAGGUCCCCACCAACCUCUGUAGCAGCCCUUGAAUUUGGUGCUCCAGCCUAUCCACUCCCUUUACGCUCCUCUCCUGCUCCCAAAAUGAAACCAAGUUUUGACAAUACUUAGACAACUGUCUCUGAGGUUUUGACUUGUGUGGUGGUCUAUUGAGAGCCAGGCCUGUCUGGGACCUCCCCUGAGGCCCUGGUAUAUGGAAAAGGAACUUCAUUUCUUGUCUAAAACCAGGAACCUGUCACUGAAGAAUAGCCUGCUGGUCCAGGUCAGUGAUUACAAGUGUAGGUGGUGCAGUCAGACUUGCAGAUUCCAGGACUGGUCCCCCCACUCUCCGGUAUGAUCCCAGGCAAGUUAUGUAACAUCCAUGUGCCUUUCCCUCCUCUUCUGAAAAACUACUACCUACCAUGACUUCUGGGACUAGCAGUGGGUCAGAGCAGAU
RNAcentral lists this long non-coding RNA (691 nucleotides) under Cricetulus griseus (Chinese hamster). RNAcentral describes it as "lncRNA (ENSCGRG00015031611.1)". Lineage: Eukaryota; Metazoa; Chordata; Mammalia; Rodentia; Cricetidae. The record is from RNAcentral.